This 454-nucleotide ribosomal RNA is filed under the name uncultured bacterium. RNAcentral's name for it is "partial 16S ribosomal RNA". It matches the Rfam family "Bacterial small subunit ribosomal RNA", at positions 28 to 507 of the family's 1533-position model. The record is from RNAcentral.
GAUGAACGCUGGCGGAAUGCUUAACACAUGCAAGUCAACUGGAACUUCGGUAUGGUUGGCGGACGGGUGAGUAACGCGUAAGGAACUUGCCUCACAGGUAAGGACAACAUUUGGACACGGAUGCUAAUACCUGAUCUUAUGAUUAUAUGGCAUCGUAUAUGUAUGAAAGCUAUCUGCGCUGUGAGAGAGCUUUGCGUCCCAUUAUCGAGUUGGAGACGUAACGGCUCACCAAGGCGAUGAUGGCUAGCCGGCCUGGGAGGGUGAUCGGCCACAAGUGGACGGAGAAAGGGCCCUUACGCAUACGGGAGGCAGCAGUGGGGAAUAUUGGACAAUGGACCAAGAGUAUGAUCAAGCAAUUCUGUGUGUAAGAUGAAGUUUUUCGGAAUGUAAAGUUCUUUCAGUUGGGAAGAAAAAAAUGACGGUACCAACAGAAGAAGUGACGGCUAAAUACGUG